GGCUCCAUAGCUCAGUGGUUUAGAGCCCUAGCCUCCUAAAUUAGGCGUCGUGAGUUCAGUUCUCACUGGGGCCU
Molecule: non-coding RNA, 74 nt
Organism: Carcharodon carcharias (great white shark)
Lineage: Eukaryota; Metazoa; Chordata; Chondrichthyes; Lamniformes; Lamnidae
Source: the annotation of a RefSeq genome assembly